Molecule: ribosomal RNA, 341 nt
Filed under: Salmonella enterica subsp. enterica serovar Infantis
Lineage: Bacteria; Pseudomonadati; Pseudomonadota; Gammaproteobacteria; Enterobacterales; Enterobacteriaceae
Description: bacterial LSU rRNA
Rfam family: Bacterial large subunit ribosomal RNA
Source: RNAcentral
UGGGUAGGGGAGCGUUCUGUAAGCCUGUGAAGGUGUGUCGUGAGGCAUGCUGGAGGUAUCAGAAGUGCGAAUGCUGACAUAAGUAACGAUAAAGCGGGUGAAAAGCCCGCUCGCCGGAAGACCAAGGGUUCCUGUCCAACGUUAAUCGGGGCAGGGUGAGUCGACCCCUAAGGCGAGGCCGAAAGGCGUAGUCGAUGGGAAACGGGUUAAUAUUCCCGUACUUGGUGUUACUGCGAAGGGGGGACGGAGAAGGCUAUGUUGGCCGGGCGACGGUUGUCCCGGUUUAAGCGUGUAGGUGUGUGUUCCAGGUAAAUCCGGUUCACUUUAACACUGAGGCGUGA